This 253-nucleotide ribosomal RNA is filed under the name uncultured bacterium. RNAcentral describes it as "partial 16S ribosomal RNA". It matches the Rfam family "Bacterial small subunit ribosomal RNA", at positions 524 to 776 of the family's 1533-position model. The record is from RNAcentral.
UACGUAGGGUGCGAGCGUUGUCCGGAAUUAUUGGGCGUAAAGAGCUCGUAGGCGGUCUGUCGCGUCGGCUGUGAAAACCCGGGGCUCAACCCCGGGCCUGCAGCCGAUACGGGCAAGCUAGAAUUCGGUAGGGGAGACUGGAAUUCCUGGUGUAGCGGUGAAAUGCGCAGAUAUCAGGAGGAACACCGGUGGCGAAGGCGGGUCUCUGGGCCGAUAUUGACGCUGAGGAGCGAAAGCGUGGGGAGCAAACAGG